RNAcentral lists this transfer RNA (66 nucleotides) under Oxya hyla. RNAcentral describes it as "tRNA-Phe". It matches the Rfam family "tRNA". From Rfam's summary of the family: Transfer RNA (tRNA) molecules are approximately 80 nucleotides in length. Their secondary structure includes four short double-helical elements and three loops (D, anti-codon, and T loops). Lineage: Eukaryota; Metazoa; Arthropoda; Insecta; Orthoptera; Acrididae. The record is from RNAcentral. RNAcentral also lists the same sequence under 1 other name.
ACUUGAAUGGCUUAUAUUUAGAGCGUGACACUGAAGAUGUUAAGGAAAUAAUUUUAUUUUCAAGUA